Molecule: ribosomal RNA, 562 nt
Filed under: Azospira sp. enrichment culture clone B11
Lineage: Bacteria; Pseudomonadati; Pseudomonadota; Betaproteobacteria; Rhodocyclales; Rhodocyclaceae
Description: bacterial SSU rRNA
Rfam family: Bacterial small subunit ribosomal RNA
Source: RNAcentral
CACAGUGGGGAAUUUUGGACAAUGGGGGCAACCCUGAUCCAGCCAUGCCGCGUGAGUGAAGAAGGCCUUCGGGUUGUAAAGCUCUUUCGGCGGGGAAGAAAUGGCAACGGCUAAUAUCCGUUGUUGAUGACGGUACCCGCAUAAGAAGCACCGGCUAACUACGUGCCAGCAGCCGCGGUAAUACGUAGGGUGCGAGCGUUAAUCGGAAUUACUGGGCGUAAAGCGUGCGCAGGCGGUUUCGUAAGACAGACGUGAAAUCCCCGGGCUCAACCUGGGAACUGCGUUUGUGACUGCGAAGCUAGAGUACGGCAGAGGGGGGUAGAAUUCCACGUGUAGCAGUGAAAUGCGUAGAGAUGUGGAGGAAUACCGAUGGCGAAGGCAGCCCCCUGGGCUAGUACUGACGCUCAUGCACGAAAGCGUGGGGAGCAAACAGGAUUAGAUACCCUGGUAGUCCACGCCCUAAACGAUGUCAACUAGGUGUUGGAAGGUUAACCUUUUAGUACCGCAGCUAACGCGUGAAGUUGACCGCCUGGGGAGUACGGCCGCAAGGUUAAAACUCAAG